Molecule: long non-coding RNA, 788 nt
Filed under: Carica papaya (papaya)
Lineage: Eukaryota; Viridiplantae; Streptophyta; Magnoliopsida; Brassicales; Caricaceae
Description: long non-coding RNA (CPAP_LNC002560)
Source: RNAcentral
GUGAAACCAUGCCUAGCCAACGUCGUGGUUCUCCUUAUUCUCUGCACGUACCAUUAUGCAUUCUCUCUCUCUAGCCUUUUAGUUAUGAGCUUCUUUGUCAUACUACGUGCCGCACGCACAAAACCCACCUCGCUGUCGAUCUGGUAUGUUCCCCCUACUCUCUCUCUCUCCCAAGCUCCUUUCUCCCUCUUCAUGACUCACUCUCUCUCCCUACUUAAUUGACUCUGUUUCUCUUCCUUCUUCUUGAUUUCUUAUCUUUUUUUAAUAGGCAAAGGGAUUGAGAGUCCUGCAUCCCUCUUCCUCCUUCUUUGGUGUGUAGGUCUAGGCUUUUUCUUCUUCUUUUUCAGAUGCCAGAGGCAUAAACGCCUUUGGUUGCCCUCUUUUUUUUCCUAUUUCUUUCAUCAAAACAAAACUAUUUUAGAGUUUUCCAAAAUGAUGAUGUUUUGGCCCUUCUUACUCCUAAUACCCAACUUCAAAAUGACAUCGUUUUAAGCGUGGGUGUAACGGCCCCAAAAAUUUAAAUGAAAUACAUGUAUUAAAAAUGUCAAAUGCGGAAGCGUAAUAAAAAUUUUGAUUAACAUCCCUUACACAAUAACCAAAACGUACUCAAAACAUGAAAUUACAAACUAACUAAGAGAGAUACUCGAAAUAAAAACUAUAAAUAUAACUAUAAAGUCUUUAGGUGUCCCCUUCGCCGUCUUCCUGUGGAACGGGCUCGGGAACAACGUCUUCCUGAUCUGAAAUAGUUAAAUAAGGGAUGAGCUACACCAGCCCAGUAAAGACAUCAC